Molecule: ribosomal RNA, 439 nt
Filed under: Salmonella enterica subsp. enterica
Lineage: Bacteria; Pseudomonadati; Pseudomonadota; Gammaproteobacteria; Enterobacterales; Enterobacteriaceae
Description: bacterial SSU rRNA
Rfam family: Bacterial small subunit ribosomal RNA
Source: RNAcentral
CCUACGGGUGGCUGCAGUGGGGAAUAUUGGACAAUGGGCGCAAGCCUGAUCCAGCCAUGCCGCGUGGGUGAUGAAGGCCCUAGGGUUGUAAAGCCCUUUCGGCGGGGAAGAUAAUGACGGUACCCGCAGAAGAAGCCCCGGCUAACUUCGUGCCAGCAGCCGCGGUAAUACGAAGGGGGCUAGCGUUGCUCGGAAUCACUGGGCGUAAAGCGCACGUAGGCGGAUUUUUAAGUCAGGGGUGAAAUCCUGGAGCUCAACUCCAGAACUGCCUUUGAUACUGGGAAGCUUGAGUCCGGGAGAGGUGAGUGGAACUGCGAGUGUAGAGGUGAAAUUCGUAGAUAUUCGCAAGAACACCAGUGGCGAAGGCGGCUCACUGGCCCGGUACUGACGCUGAGGUGCGAAAGCGUGGGGAGCAAACAGGAUUAGAUACCCUGUAGUC